CAGCCCAUGACCCAUAUCAAGCCCUCUGGUUUGAUAUGGGAGUCUAGGGCUGAUACCAGGGCCAAUACAGAAAAUGCCAUGUAAUAAUCUAUAAUUACUCUGCCUCUGUAACAUGGAUUUAUUUGAUGUUAAGUCUUGAAUUCUUUUCAUUGUGUUAUCAAUUUUCAGAUCUGUCAAGCAGAUAGAUAACUCCUGUAUUAUCCCCAAUACCGGGUAAUUUGAAUUUUUAUGAUUAUGGAAUUUUCUUUGCAUGUUUUAUUGAGGAAGGAUAUAAUUAUAUUGGGUCUGGACCUUUAUAAUGUUGAGUUGUACUGUGAAAGGGCAUUAAUUAUAUGAAAACUUCAUGUAUAAAUUUUGGACGAUUACAGAAACAAAUAUAAAUGGUGAUAUGGUCAGAUUUACACUUCAAAAAAUGAAAAUUUGGCAUUGCAUUUGUUUAAACUGUUCUCAUAAUACAUUCAUAAUAAAAGCAAUGUUUUAAAUGUAGUGCCUCUGACCCAUUACAUUUUUUUCCAAAUUGCCUGCUAUGUUCUGGUUGUUGUCUCUUUGACACAUUCCACAUUUCUAUUUUCAAUUUUAUUUUAUAUAUAACUACCUCAAACA
Molecule: long non-coding RNA, 603 nt
Filed under: Mytilus galloprovincialis (Mediterranean mussel)
Lineage: Eukaryota; Metazoa; Mollusca; Bivalvia; Mytilida; Mytilidae
Source: RNAcentral